RNAcentral lists this ribosomal RNA (116 nucleotides) under Camelus bactrianus (Bactrian camel). Lineage: Eukaryota; Metazoa; Chordata; Mammalia; Artiodactyla; Camelidae. RNAcentral also lists the same sequence under 2 other names. The record is from RNAcentral.
GUUUACCACCAUCCCCUGAAUGCACUCGAUCUUGUCUUAUCUUGGAAGCUAAGCAGGGUUGGGCCUGGUUAGGACUUGAAUGGGAGACUGCCUCGGAAUACAGGGAGCUGUAGGCU